RNAcentral lists this long non-coding RNA (827 nucleotides) under Sorghum bicolor (sorghum). Its description in RNAcentral is "long non-coding RNA (SBIC_LNC009951)". The record is from RNAcentral. Lineage: Eukaryota; Viridiplantae; Streptophyta; Magnoliopsida; Poales; Poaceae.
UAGCCUUAGGGUAGUGACAGCCCUAACGGUCGACGUAUUCCACCACAUUCGGAUCGGUGUUUGUAGGACCGUAGUCAGACCUUCCUAGCCCCCUUCUCAUCUCUUUCUGUGGUUAGUGCUCUGAUGUCCCGAUAUAGAUAAUCUUGAAGUAAUUCUUGAUUCUUAGAUCAACUAGAGAACUCUCAGGAAACUUCCUCUCUUCCCACCCCUCUCUUCCCGGGUGAAAGGUACAUCGGUAUCCGUGCGCUUGCGGAUUUUUCUGUUUGCGUUUAAAAUACCCAACAAGCUUUCUGGCGCCGUUGCCGGGGAACGGUAGCUGUGCUAGUUUCGAACCAAGUCGUCCGUGUAUCCUUUUUCUUUUCUUUUUUUUACCACACUCACCUUACCAUUUUCACCAUACCACAUGGAUUUCACUCUAAGCAUUAAUGAGCAUGGAAUUUAUUUCAUAGCCACUUCAUGCUCAUAUGCAACAUCUUACCAAUCCAUUGGUUUUUCCAUCAUCACCACAUUCGAGAUCUCCAACCCCCUCUUCCUUUCUAUUCAUAAAAACUUUAAAAGAGCGGUUGUCGAUGCAUAUGUCUAUAAUAAAUUUUGCAGAUCUCGUUGAGUUGAUCUUGAUAUAGGUCAGCGUUGGAGGAGAAACCACUUCACUGACAUAAAUUGAUGGUUUCCCAAGGACAAGCUUAGCGUCCUAAAAUAAGCACUGAUCAGAUUGUAACAUGAGCUUUUAAUUAUUUGCAACAUUACCUUGUGUGUUGAGCAUAUAAGGAUAAUUGUAAAAAUAUUCCUUCGGGUAUUCUUGUCACUAACCUUUUUAGGAUUGGAGC